UACGUAGGGUGCAAGCGUUAAUCGGAAUUACUGGGCGUAAAGCGUGCGCAGGCGGUUAUGUAAGACAGAUGUGAAAUGCCCGGGCUUAACCUGGGAACUGCAUUUGUGACUGCAUGGCUAGAAUCUGGCAGAGGGGGGUAGAAUUCCACGUGGUAGCAGUGAAAUGCGUAGAUAUGUGGAGGAACACCGAUGGCCGGAAGGCAGCCCCCUGGGUCAAGAUUGACGGCUCAUGACACGAAAGGCGUGGGGAGCAAACAGG
This 259-nucleotide ribosomal RNA is filed under the name uncultured bacterium. RNAcentral describes it as "partial 16S ribosomal RNA". It matches the Rfam family "Bacterial small subunit ribosomal RNA", at positions 524 to 776 of the family's 1533-position model. The record is from RNAcentral.